Molecule: small nuclear RNA, 103 nt
Organism: Pteronotus mesoamericanus
Lineage: Eukaryota; Metazoa; Chordata; Mammalia; Chiroptera; Mormoopidae
Source: RefSeq, a predicted model, not a curated record
GCUCGCUUUGGCAGCACAUACUAAAAUUGGAACAAUAGAGAGAGGAUUAACAUGGCCCCUGAGCAAGGAUGACAUGCAAAUUCAUGAAGCAUUCCAUAUUGUU